Molecule: long non-coding RNA, 945 nt
Filed under: Ursus maritimus (polar bear)
Lineage: Eukaryota; Metazoa; Chordata; Mammalia; Carnivora; Ursidae
Description: lncRNA (ENSUMAG00000004736.1)
Source: RNAcentral
UCUUAGGGAAGUGGGAACGAGGAAUGUGUAGGUCAGGGAGGGGAUCAAGGGAUUUCCAUUUUUAAAUUUACACCGUCGAAUAGUUUUAAAGUUGCUUCCAGCCGGUUUGUGAUGAAUCACGUUUUUAUUGAGACACACUUCUUACACUGUAGAAUUUACCCUUCUGCAGUGUGCAGUUCAGCGGUUUCAGGCUAGUGACAAGGUCGCGCAGCCAUCACUGCCGUCUGCUUCUGGGAUGGGGUGGGUAGAAGUGAGAUAGGAAAGCUGACUCCGAUGAUUGUUUCGUGGUGCUCAAGCUUGCUUUGAUGAACAGGUCACUGGAAGGGGCUGCCCACGGGACAGGGACAGCCGAGUCAUCGCACCCCCUCCCGGGACCAGCUCCUCCCCGCAUUGCUGAUUCUGGAGGCUUCUGGCUCCUCUGUCACUAUGCCGUGCUCACUGCACGCUCCCAUCCCGAAGUGCUCCCAGAGUGUAUUUUCUUGGCCAGGCAUCUUGCUGACUCCGGACUUCUCUGCACCAACCGCUUCCUCUCUUCCGCUCUGGACGGUCACAGCCAGUGCCUUCGACCAGCCUCCACCACUGGCCAUCAUUAGACGUUGUACAUUGCUGGACGGUUCUGAUACUCCAAGGCACGGCCCCGCGGGCUUUGAAGCACCGAGCGCCAUGAGGCAGGAGAGGUUCCAGAGAUCCACAGAGGAGGAAGGAGGAGGGACUCCCACACAGGAGCUCGGCACCUGCCCUUUCUGCGUUCUUGCUACGAGAGGAGAGGUGAAGCAACCCUUCCCUUCUGUCUGCUCCUUUCUCCAGCAAGUGUGUAAACACACUCGGAUUCUCCAUCCCGCCGCAUCCCAAGCUGGCCUGAGGCGUUACCGCACAAACCCAGAGCCACGGCCACCAUGGCCCGACGGUGCGACCCACCCCCUUGCCCCUCUCCCAGGGCCUCCG